AGCGGAUAAGAGACCAAUAAUGUUGUAUUCAAAUUUAAGACUAUUUUGAUUUUUUUCUAACACAAUAAUAAUUUGCGAUAGUUAAAAAAUAUGAAUCAAAUGUUAUAGUAGCAUUAUUAAUUAAUUUCGUUAGAACUCAGUCUCGGUAUCCAAGUUAAAGUUGAUCUUAAACUUUAAAUUUCUUAAGCUGAAAUUUGAACAUGAAAUUGAAAAGCAAUGACGGGAUAUUUGGACUUAAGCUCAAAAACAUUCGUAGGUUUAUCGGGAAAGCCUCGAGUCGAAAAUCUUUCUCUCAGUCUAGAUUAGUUUAUGUUGGACACAAGCACCCACCUGGCAGUGAAGAUGAAGUUGAAGUUGAAGAAAGAUUUCCUGAUAAUACCAUAGUUACUUCAAAGUACACAAUAUGGAACUUCAUUCCAAAGAAUCUUUAUGAGCAGUUUCGAAGAAUAGCUAACUUCUAUUUCCUGUGUAUUGCAGUUAUUCAACUAAGUAUAAAUAGUCCUGUCAGCCCACUUACCAGUCUAGCUCCACUCAUAUUUGUGGUUACUAUUACUGCUGUUAAACAAGGUUAUGAAGAUUGGUUGAGACACAAAGCUGAUCGUAUAGUGAAUCACAUGCAUGUUCGAGUUAUCAGAAAUGGAAAAAUAACCAGGACUAGGUCUCAAGACAUCAAGGUAGGAGAUAUUGUUAAGGUGAAAUCUGAUGAGGAGUUUCCUUGUGAUCUUGUAAUGCUAUCUUCUAGCAAUACAGAGGGAGUUUGUUACAUCACAACAGCUAACCUUGAUGGAGAAACCAAUCUCAAAGUUCAUGAGUGCCUUCCAGAAACUCGAGAUUACCAGACAGCAGAGAGUUUCAGCAGCUUUUGUGCUUCCAUUGAGUGUGAAGAACCAACAGCAAACCUUUAUACAUUUAUUGGAAGAAUGACAUGCUACAAAAAUAUACAAGAAACUAGUAUUGGCUCUUUAGGGCCAGUACAUUUGUUAUUGAAGGGAGCCAGACUUAAAAACACAAACUUUGUAUACGGUUGUUGUGUAUAUACAGGUCCCGAGACAAAACUGUCAUUGAACCUUAACCUUACAUACAACAAAUUUUCUACUGUAGAAAGGUCAAUGAACAAGUUUUUGAUCUUUUUUUUGGUACUGUUAGUAGUAGAAGUUUCUUUAGCAACAGGAAUGAAAUACUUUUAUCAGAAUGAUCCAGUGAGGGGCAUUCCAUGGUAUUUACCUGUAGAUGACAGUAUAAGUGCAAAAGGAGUAUUAUCUGAUCUUCUGGUUUUUGUGGUUCUUUUCAACUAUAUAAUACCAAUCUCACUGUAUGUUACAAUUGAAAUGGUGAAGUUUACCGGUUCUUUGUUUCUAACCUGGGAUGCUGAAUUGUAUGAUAGUAGUUCAGAUGAAUAUGCUAAGUGUAAUAGCUCAGACUUGAAUGAAGAACUUGGCCAGGUAGAGUACUUGUUCACUGAUAAAACUGGAACUCUAACAGAAAAUGACAUGGUUUUUCGUCAUUGCUCAAUUGAUGCUGUCAAAUACACAGAAUAUAGUGGUAUGCUCUGCAAAGUGUCUGAAUCACAGCAGAGAAGUCCUGAACCUCUCUUCCAUUAUGUUGGAGCAGUUGAAAGUUUCCUUCUUGUUUUAGCUGUCUGUAACACAGUCCAGACCUUUAACAAUGGAACACUAUCGCAGUUAAACAAUUUCCAUAACAGUUCUAACCUUGAAUAUCAUGCAUCAUCACCAGAUGAAAAAGCACUAGUAGAUGCUUGUUGGAGGCUUGGAGUUAUUCUGCAUGGUGUGUUCAAUGAUACCUACUAUGUAACAUUCAAAGGGAAGCUCCAUAAAUUUGAGCGACUUCACAUCUUAGAAUUUGAUUUUAACAGAAAAUGUAUGUCGGUGAUAAUUAGAAAUGAGGAAGGAAAUAUUUACCUGCUUUGCAAAGGAGCUGAAUCUACUGUUGUCAAAAAGUGUGUUUCUGGUCCAAAAAAUGACACACUGACCCAUGUGAACGAUUAUGCUCUAGAAGGGCUAAGAAUACUGGUAGUUGCCCACAAGCAACUUUCAGAAGCUGAAUUUCAGAAUUUUGACAUCAAAAUAAAAACAGCACGAGCUGAAAUGGUAAAUAGGGAAGAAAAAGUUUUGAGGGUUUUUGAAGAAAUUGAACAAAACAUGACAUUGUUAGGAGCUACGGCUGUGGAGGACAGGCUACAGGAUGGAGUUUGUGACACAUUAAGUGCUCUAAAAGAAGCUGGAAUAAAGGUUUGGGUUUUAACUGGAGACAAAGAAGAAACAGCUAUUAACAUCAGCUAUUUAUCAGGCCACUUUCAGAAAGAUAUGGAGCUUCUGAAGCUUAUAUGUCAGAGGACCAGUAGCCAAUGCCAUAGGCAACUGAACAAAAUUAAAAUUCUGAUGGAAAAAGAACCAAUCAAAAGUUAUGCUCUCGUUGUGGAUGGUCUCACACUGACAUUUCUUCUCAGUGAGCUUCGUGACGAAUUUUACAAAGUUUGUUGCCAAUGCACUGGUGUUCUGUGUUGUCGUAUGUCUCCCAUACAGAAAGCGGAGGUUGUGAAGUUCAUCAAGAAUGGAUCUGAGAAGGUGGUUACUGCUGCAAUUGGGGAUGGUGCAAAUGAUGUCAGCAUGAUUCAAGAAGCUCAUGUUGGUUUGGGCAUUAUUGGUAAAGAAGGCCGCCAGGCAGUACGAUGCAGUGACUUUGCUUUUGCUCGUUUCCGGUUCUUGCUACGUGUUCUACUUGUUCAUGGUCAUUACUACUACAUUCGAAUUUCCACAUUGGUGCAGUACUUUUUUUACAAGGAAUAUACGAAGAAAUGCCAAAAUGACUAAAUUACAGUUCACCAAGUGGAUUAUACAGGGAUUUUGGCAUUCACUUGUUCUUUACUUUGGUACACAUCUUUUUUGGAUAAAGAAUACUUCUUGUUUUUUGGAUGGUCAGAGUCUGGGUUUAUGGAGUUUUGGCACAUCAGUGUUUCAUAUACUUGUUCUCAUUGUUAACUUAAAG
Molecule: unclassified non-coding RNA, 3006 nt
Filed under: Limulus polyphemus (Atlantic horseshoe crab)
Lineage: Eukaryota; Metazoa; Arthropoda; Merostomata; Xiphosura; Limulidae
Description: probable phospholipid-transporting ATPase IF, transcript variant X2
Source: RNAcentral